Molecule: ribosomal RNA, 458 nt
Filed under: uncultured bacterium
Lineage: Bacteria
Description: bacterial SSU rRNA
Rfam family: Bacterial small subunit ribosomal RNA
Source: RNAcentral
GCAUGAACGCUGGCGGUAUGCUUAACACAUGCAAGUCGAACGAAAUACGAUGGGGUUUACUCUAUCGUAUGGCAGUGGCGGACGGGUGCGUAACGCGUAAGAACUUACCUUUUGGCGAGGGACAACCGCGGGAAACUGCGGCUAAUACCUCAUAGAGCUGAGGAGCGAAAGGUGAAAACCACCAAAAGAGAGGCUUGCGUCUGAUUAGCUAGUUGGUGAGGGUAAUGGCCUCCCAAGGCGACGAUCAGUAGCUGGUCUGAGAGGAUGAUCAGCCACACUGGAACUGAGACACGGUCCAGACUCCUACGGGAGGCAGCAGUGAGGAAUUUUCCGCAAUGGGCGAAAGCCUGACGGAGCAAUACCGCGUGGAGGAGGAAGGCCCGUGGGUCGUAAACUCCUUUUCUCAGAGAAGAACACAAUGACGGUAUCUGAGGAAUAAGCAUCGGCUAACUCCGUGC